GAUGAACGCUGGCGGCAUGCCUAACACAUGCAAGUCGAGCGAACAGACGAGGAGCUUGCCCGUCUGUCGUUAGCGGCGGAUGGGUGAGUCAUACGUGGAUACCCUAUCUUUAAGACUGACAUAACUACGGGAAACCGGAUCCCGUAUCCGACCUUAUAUUGAACGGCUUGGUUCAAUAGUGUUAGCCGGCUUUUCUGUCACUAAUAGAUGGUUUCGCGUCGCAUUAGCUAGUUGGUAAGGAAACGGCUUACCAAGGCGACGAUGCGUAGCCGACCUGAGAGGGUGGUCGGCCACCCGGGAAGUGAGACACGGCCGAGACUCCUACGGUAGGCAGCAGUAGGGAAUCUUACGCAAGGGGCGAAAGCCGGAUGGAGCAAAGCCGCGUGAGUGAUGAAGGUCUUCGGAUCGGAAAACGCUGUAAGUAGGGAGGAAGAAAAGUGUAUUUAACUAUGCACGUGUUGACGGUACCUAUACAAAAAGCCCCGGCUAACUACGUG
Molecule: ribosomal RNA, 497 nt
Filed under: uncultured bacterium
Lineage: Bacteria
Description: partial 16S ribosomal RNA
Rfam family: Bacterial small subunit ribosomal RNA
Source: RNAcentral